AACCACUCACGCCUAGCGUGGUAUUGGGGCACGCGGUCUCCGCGGCCCUCAAAAUUAGUGGCGGCGCCGGUGGGCUCUAAGCGUAGUAAUUCUCUCGCUAUAGGGUCCCGGCGGUUGCCUGCCAGAACCCCCCAUUUUUUAC
This 142-nucleotide unclassified non-coding RNA is filed under the name uncultured Helotiales. Its description in RNAcentral is "sequence contains ITS2". The record is from RNAcentral. Lineage: Eukaryota; Fungi; Ascomycota; Leotiomycetes; Helotiales.